RNAcentral lists this non-coding RNA (2889 nucleotides) under Pan troglodytes (chimpanzee). Lineage: Eukaryota; Metazoa; Chordata; Mammalia; Primates; Hominidae. The record is from RNAcentral.
GAUCUGAAUACUGAAGGGUUGGUAGGGGACCAGAGAAUAGAGGAAGCAUUGUAGGUUCUAGAGUGGAGAAGGGACCAUCCAAAAUGGAGUUUGAAAGAGAAUUCUGGCCUUUGUGUUUAGAGUCUGGAAUUGUCAAGAGUCUGAAAGCACAGAAUAAGACUGCAGCUAGAGCAAUUUAGGCGCCAUAGUUUGUCAAAACAGAGACGGGAUCUCACUGUGUUGCUCAGGCUGGUCUCGAACUGCUGGACUCAAGUCAUCCUCCCAUCUUGGCCUCCCAAAGUGCUGGAAUUACAGUGGACAACCUUCAAUGCACUGGUACUUUGUACCCUGACCUCUACUGUGAUGAACACUCAACUUGGGCAAGAAAGUGAAAUUCUCCAAAGCAAGGAGGAGGGUGCUCUGAAUAGAUGGACCCUGAUUCUACUUACAAAACUGUGGGAAGAAACCGGAGCUUCCUCCCUCUCUGAGACAACGGUGCCACUGAGACUGCGUGAGAUGCGACGUAAAUUCUCUGCACUGUACUGCUCAUCCUCCCCACACUCCCUGCUGAGGCCUCGGCAAGGUGUAGCCUUCAAACACACAGACACAUACAGGCAGACACAUAAUACCAGACUUAUGGUUUUCCCACAGACAGUAUCCUCAGGGUAUGGGAAAGAGUAGGGGAAGACUCAGUAGUAAUAGACACCUGAAUUAGAUGUAUUGGUAAGAUAGUGGCCAUGUAACAAUCUCCUCUAAUUCAAAAGAAGCCCAAUCAUAGACCUUAUUUUCUUCUGAUAGCCCCAUAUCACCAUGCCUCUGCCUUAUCAUCAUCCCUGUCACAUCUCUCCAUAAUUCCUUCCCCAACACACCACCCCAGGCCCAGCACCUUAGCACCUGAGGCUGCUACCUGAGAAGUACGCACUGUUCUGGCUUCAUGGAGACCAUGCUCCAUUUCUGCUGCUGAAGUCUUUGAGAGACCAGGAUCAUGGGCUGAGUGCAACCUCCUCCCCAUGCCAUCUGCAGAGCCUGAAGAGGAAAACACAAAUACAAGUUGAGGCCAUCUCUUCCCCUAGGGCCUACCUCUAAGCCUAGCAGCACAAACUCAGGAGCUGUUGUUUCAUUUAAUAAUAAAUAUGCAUCCUUGAAUUCAACGGAGGAACAUGCUCCUGGAAUUUAGAAGCAAGAGGGGCUGGGCAUGGUGGCUCACACCUGUAAUCCCAGCACUUUGGGAGGCCAACACGGGCAGAUCACGAGGUCAGGAGAUCGAGACCACCCUGGCUAACACGGUAAAACCCUGUCUCUACUAAAAAUACAAAAAAUUAGCCGGGCGUGGUGGCAGGCACCUGUAGUCCCAGCUACUCGGGAGGCUGAGGCAGGAGAAUGGCGUGAACCCGGGAGGCGGAGCUUGCAGUGAACGGAGAUCGCGCCACUGCACUCCAGCCUGGGUGACAGAGCGAGACUCCGUCUCAAAAAAAAAAAAAGAAACAAGAAUUUUAGAAUAUAGAUAGUUUACUGAAUGUCCCCAUCUUGCUUCAUUUCAUUUUUGUAAACAUAAUCAGCUUCUGUCAGACUUAGGCUCAAGACUUAUAGACAGAGGAAAGUAUCUAACACAGUGAGUUUUGUUUUCUAACACAGUGAUUUUCUAAAGUAUCUGUGGUGACAAAGGAAAUUAUCUCCAGUGUAGUUCAGAAUAGAAAUGAUCAUAAUAAUCAUCUAUCAAACCUCCUCAUUUUAUAUAACAGGAAAAUGAGUUCCAGGGUCUGAGAGUUUAGUAGUUUAACCAGGAUUAAAAUUAAAUCCUCUUGAUUUUCAGUACAGUACUCUUACCAUCUCACCUGGUGACCUCUUUUACUCUGAGAGCAGGAGCUCCUCAGGAAUGUUUUACAUAUGUAAUGCUCUUUUCCCCUUAGCUUCUCUCAAAUCAUUUAAAUUUCUAAACAACCACUAAAUGCUUACCUCUCUUCAAAAUCUUUCUAGAUUGUUCAGUUGCUCUAAACUGGAUUGGUGACUCCCAAGGGGCUAUCCCCAAUCCAACUAAUUAAGUUUUCCAUUCCAAAACUGUAUAUGCCCCUGACCUACAUUUGAUACAUAUGUCCAUGGCCAAUUCAUGUCUUGAUUUGAUGAUUUGAUUCUUAUAUAUAUAUAUAUAUCUGGCUGAAGCUGAUAUUAUUCAUGUAAGUAUUGUAAGACCAGUUAUUUUCAGUAUUCCUGGGUACUUAAAUGCAGUGCUUUCAAUACCACCUCAGAUUCAUCUGGGAACUUUUAAAAAUAUAGCUUCCUGGAUGUUACCACAGACCUGAAUCAGAAGGUUUGUGGUUGGUGCCUGGGAAUUUUCAUUUUUGAAAGGUUCCCAAAAAGUCUAAGAAAAUAUCCUUGAACAUUAUUGGGGGAAAUGUGAAAUGUUACAGUCUUCCUAAAAAACAACCUGGUAAUCUCCAAUAAAAUAAAAAAUAUAUUUAUCCUGUUGCCCAAUGAUUCUAAUCCUGAGAAGAAGAAGAAAAAAAUACCAGUUCAUAACAACAUAUAUAUGAGAAUAUUUUCUACUGACAUAAUUUAUAGUAGCCAAGAACUAGAAAUAAAGUAAUGCCCACCUAUAGAAGAAUAAAUACAUUAUGGUUUAAUACCAAAUAUUGUCCAGCCACUUAAAAAGAUUGAACUGAGUUAAACUAGAUGAUUUGAAGGAAUUUUAAUGAAACAUUGUUGCAUUAAAAGGAAAAAAAUCUGUAAAAUGAUAGACAAGCAUUUGUUUAUGUAUAUGUAGGUCUACAUAGGAUUGUAUAAACAGAAAAUACAGUGUAUGCACACUAGAUAAUUACCUGGGGAAGUAGGGACUGGCUGUGAGAGAAGAGACAGGAAAAUUGUCUAUAAUAAAAACAGCAUGUGUGUUAUGUUCUUAUUUCUAUAAAAUUA